Non-coding RNA from Capsicum annuum, 107 nucleotides. Lineage: Eukaryota; Viridiplantae; Streptophyta; Magnoliopsida; Solanales; Solanaceae. The record is from Rfam.
UGAUGAUGGUGAGGGAAAUUUCUGAUCAUACUCUUAAAUCUCUCCCAAGCUUGGUAGAGAUUCUCUUCUUCUUUCUACCUGAAACGUGAAAACACUCAACUUACACA